RNAcentral lists this ribosomal RNA (506 nucleotides) under uncultured bacterium. Its description in RNAcentral is "partial 16S ribosomal RNA". It matches the Rfam family "Bacterial small subunit ribosomal RNA", at positions 29 to 523 of the family's 1533-position model. The record is from RNAcentral.
AGUGAACGCUGGCGGUAGGCCUAACACAUGCAAGUCGAACGGCAGCACAGGAGAGCUUGCUCUCUGGGAGGCGAGUGGCGGACGGGUGAGGAAUACAUCGGAAUCUACUCUGUCGUGGGGGAUAACGUAGGGAAACUUACGCUAAUACCGCAUACGACCUACGGGUGAAAGCAGGGGAUCUUCGGACCUUGCGCGAUUGAAUGAGCCGAUGUCGGAUUAGCUAGUUGGCGGGGGAAAGGCCCACCAAGGCGACGAUCCGUAGCUGGUCUGAGGGGGUGAUCCGCCACACUGGAACUGAGACAGCGUCCAGACUCCUACGGGAGGCAGCAGUGGGGAAUAUUGGACAAUGGGCGCAAGCCUGAUCCAGCCAUACCGCGUGGGUGAAGAAGGCCUUCGGGUUGUAAAGCCCUUUUGUUGGGAAAGAAAUCCAGCUGGCUAAUACCCGGUUGGGAUGACGGUACCCAAAGAAUAAGCACCGGCUAACUUCGUGCCAGCCGCCGCAGUAA